This 852-nucleotide ribosomal RNA is filed under the name Heyndrickxia coagulans. Its description in RNAcentral is "bacterial SSU rRNA". It matches the Rfam family "Bacterial small subunit ribosomal RNA". The record is from RNAcentral. Lineage: Bacteria; Bacillati; Bacillota; Bacilli; Caryophanales; Bacillaceae.
CCUAUACAUGCAGUCGUGCGGACCUUUUAAAGCUUGCUUUUAAAAGGUUAGCGGCGGACGGGUGAGUAACACGUGGGCAACCUGCCUGUAAGAUCGGGAUAACGCCGGGAAACCGGGGCUAAUACCGGAUAGUUUUUUCCUCCGCAUGGAGGAAAAAGGAAAGACGGCUUCGGCUGUCACUUACAGAUGGGCCCGCGGCGCAUUAGCUUGUUGGUGGGGUAACGGCUCACCAAGGCAACGAUGCGUAGCCGACCUGAGAGGGUGAUCGGCCACAUUGGGACUGAGACACGGCCCAAACUCCUACGGGAGGCAGCAGUAGGGAAUCUUCCGCAAUGGACGAAAGUCUGACGGAGCAACGCCGCGUGAGUGAAGAAGGCCUUCGGGUCGUAAAACUCUGUUGCCGGGGAAGAACAAGUGCCGUUCGAACAGGGCGGCGCCUUGACGGACCCGGCCAGAAAGCCACGGCUAACUACGUGCCAGCAGCCGCGGUAAUACGUAGGUGGCAAGCGUUGUCCGGAAUUAUUGGGCGUAAAGCGCGCGCAGGCGGCUUCUUAAGUCUGAUGUGAAAUCUUGCGGCUCAACCGCAAGCGGUCAUUGGAAACUGGUAGGCUUGAGUGCAGAAUAGGAGAGUGAAAUUCCACGUGUAUCGGUGAACUGCGUAUAGAUGUGGGAGGAACACCGGUGUCGAAGCCGGCUCUCUGGUCUGUAUUUGACGCUUAGGCGCGAAUUCGUGAAGAAGCAAGCCGGCAUUAGAUACCCGGGGUAGCCCCACGCCCUUAUACCGAUGAUUUGCCCACUUGUUAGAGGGGAUUUCCCGCCCUUUUACUUGCUGGCAAUCUAAGCGCACUUAAG